CGUGUGGGCGGUUUUGUAAGUCUGAUGUGAAAGCCCUGGGCUCAACCCGGGAAGUGCAUUGGAUACUGUAAGACUUGAAUACGGGAGAGGGUAGUGGAAUUCCUAGUGUAGGAGUGAAAUCCGUAGAUAUUAGGAGGAACACCGGUGGCGAAGGCGGCUGCCUGGACCGAUAUUGACGCUGAGACGCGAAAGCGUGGGUAGCAAACA
This 207-nucleotide ribosomal RNA is filed under the name uncultured delta proteobacterium. Its description in RNAcentral is "partial 16S ribosomal RNA". It matches the Rfam family "Bacterial small subunit ribosomal RNA", at positions 568 to 774 of the family's 1533-position model. The record is from RNAcentral. Lineage: Bacteria; Deltaproteobacteria.